Long non-coding RNA from Rhipicephalus sanguineus (brown dog tick), 535 nucleotides. RefSeq lists it as uncharacterized. The transcript has 4 exons. The record is from RefSeq and is a predicted model, not a curated record. NCBI's taxonomy places the organism in Eukaryota, Metazoa, Arthropoda, Arachnida, Ixodida, Ixodidae.
AUGGCUCACGAACCCAACUUCCGAGCGGCACGCCUACCGGCCGAACAUCGCCUGUGCGCAGCUUGAUCUGCCUACCAUGCGUCGGCCUUGGUCAUCAUCUCACCGGCCUCGCCUUUCAUCUCUACCACCUGGAAAGCCGGCGUGGCCGACGGAGCAUAGACGACUGACUGUUCAAGGAACUGAAGCAGUGGACAGCUUGCUGUGAAAGAUGGGAGCAUUCUUCCUCUGGUCUGGACAAGCCCAUAUUAAGUGGGAGAUGUUCAAUAUCAACCCGAUGAGAGGCAGCAAAUGUGGAAAUGGACGCAAGUCAAGGACAGCUGCAGACAGCAAAAUAUUGAAACUGAUACGAUUGUGCUGAAUCACCGAAGAUAUGAGCCAGAGUGCGAACAGUAUACUCGUACAGUUUCGCAGAAUAAACCCCAUCUUUAUGCGUUCAGAGCAGCUGGAUGUUCACUGUUUACUUGGCAAGAAGUAGUAUGUAUGCAUGCUUCCUGCCACAGCUAUGUGCUGUCCCACACUUUGUGGGAAACACUGA